AGGGGGUGCCUUUCAGGCAUCCUCUCCCAAACUUUCAGUGGGUCGGUCUUCGGAUCGGCCCUUUUUUUGCGUCUGC
This 76-nucleotide small RNA is filed under the name Novosphingobium sp. 9U. Its description in RNAcentral is "Makes More Granules Regulator RNA (mmgR)". It matches the Rfam family "Makes More Granules Regulator RNA (mmgR)". Rfam says of the family: SuhB later renamed mmgR (makes more granules regulator) was a putative non-coding RNA found multiple times in the Agrobacterium tumefaciens genome and related alpha-proteobacteria. Other non-coding RNAs uncovered in the same analysis include: speF, ybhL, metA, and serC. The record is from Rfam by way of RNAcentral. Lineage: Bacteria; Pseudomonadati; Pseudomonadota; Alphaproteobacteria; Sphingomonadales; Sphingomonadaceae.